GGGUUGGUGACCGCAGGGGGCUGUGUGAACUUGGCACCCGACUUUGGAAAAAAUGUUUUUUUUUGGAUUCAUUUAAUAGAUAUUGGUUAGUAGUUGAUAGUAGUGACAACAACUUUUUUUGUAGUUGUACAAAAAAAAUUUUUUUGGCACCAAAAAAUAUUGCAUCCCCCCACAUUUAAAAUAAAAAAUUUUUUUCUUCGAUUCUUAUAGAGGAACGUUGAUAGAUGAUUGUAGUGCAUUUUGUUUUGUUUUUAGUAAGCUAGAAAAAAAAUAAUUAAAAAUAUAAAAAAUAA
Molecule: long non-coding RNA, 293 nt
Organism: Melitaea cinxia (Glanville fritillary)
Lineage: Eukaryota; Metazoa; Arthropoda; Insecta; Lepidoptera; Nymphalidae
Exons: 3
Source: RefSeq, a predicted model, not a curated record